UACGUAGGGGGCUAGCGUUUUUCGGAAUUACUGGGCGUAAAGCGCGUGUAGGCGGGCCGUUAAGUCGGGGGUGAAAGCCCAGAGCUCAACUCUGGAAUUGCCUUCGAUACUGGCGGCCUGGAGCAUGAUAGAGGCGAGUGGAAUUGCGAGUGUAGAGGUGAAAUUCGUAGAUAUUCGCAGGAACACCAGUGGCGAAGGCGACUCGCUGGAUCAUUGCUGACGCUGAGACGCGAAAGCGUGGGGAGCAAACAGG
RNAcentral lists this ribosomal RNA (253 nucleotides) under uncultured bacterium. Its description in RNAcentral is "partial 16S ribosomal RNA". It matches the Rfam family "Bacterial small subunit ribosomal RNA", at positions 524 to 776 of the family's 1533-position model. The record is from RNAcentral.